AACUUUUAAUUCUAUGUUACAUGAUGACAAUACAAGUUUCUUAGAUAUUAUUUGUAUUAUGUGUGCUCGUUAGACAUCUAUUGAAUAAGUUUUGUAUAUAAUAUCGAAGUACUGAAGACGGUUUCCUACAAACGUUUCAACCAAAAUUAGUAAAUAGCCCUAUUUAUCUAUAAUAUUGUACCUUCUCUAGCAUAUCAAAUUGAACACAUUCAGCGAAUUUUUCUGAAGUAAUAGAGCUAUUUUUUAUUAUUGUAUUUC
RNAcentral lists this unclassified non-coding RNA (258 nucleotides) under Schizosaccharomyces pombe (fission yeast). RNAcentral describes it as "non-coding RNA (predicted)". The record is from RNAcentral. Lineage: Eukaryota; Fungi; Ascomycota; Schizosaccharomycetes; Schizosaccharomycetales; Schizosaccharomycetaceae.